Molecule: ribosomal RNA, 254 nt
Filed under: uncultured bacterium
Lineage: Bacteria
Description: partial 16S ribosomal RNA
Rfam family: Bacterial small subunit ribosomal RNA
Source: RNAcentral
UACGGAGGGGGCUAGCGUUGUUCGGAAUUACUGGGCGUAAAGCGCACGUAGGCGGCUUUGUAAGUUAGAGGUGAAAGCCCGGGGCUCAACUCCGGAAUUGCCUUUAAGACUGCAUCGCUAGAAUUGUGGAGAGGUAAGUGGAAUUCCGAGUGUAGAGGUGAAAUUCGUAGAUAUUCGGAAGAACACCAGUGGCGAAGGCGACUAACUGGACAAGUACUGACGCUGAGGUACGAAAGCGUGGGGAGCAAACAGGG